CGCGUAGGCGGCUUGGCAAGUCAGAUGUGAAAGCCCCGGGCUUAACCCGGGAAUUGCAUCUGAAACUGCCUUGCUUGAGUCCUGGAGGGGGUAGUGGAAUUCCCAGUGUAGCGGUGAAAUGCGUAGAUAUUGGGAGGAACACCUGCGGCGAAGGCGGCUACCUGGACAGUGACUGACGCUGAGGCGCGAAAGCUAGGGGAGCGAACGG
Molecule: ribosomal RNA, 208 nt
Filed under: uncultured Acidobacteriota bacterium
Lineage: Bacteria; Pseudomonadati; Acidobacteriota
Description: uncultured Acidobacteria bacterium partial 16S ribosomal RNA
Rfam family: Bacterial small subunit ribosomal RNA
Source: RNAcentral